GCGUGAGCUUGUUGGGCCGCAAUCUGGGCCGCCAAGGCAGAAAGGUGAGGGGGAAGGAAGGGAAAAGAGCUGGGCUCAGCCUGCUGCGCUGGGCCGAAGGGGGAAAAAGGGGAGGGGAAAGAGUACUGGGCCUCAGGCCAGAAUAGAGAGAGAGAGGGAGAGGUUUUGUUUGUUUGUUUUCUUUUCCUUUCUUUUAUUCCAAAGCUAAUUUCAAAUCAUUUUUCACCUAUUUCAAAACGAGCACAAAAAUACAAAAUUAAAUCAUUUUGGGUGUUGC
RNAcentral lists this long non-coding RNA (277 nucleotides) under Sorghum bicolor (sorghum). RNAcentral's name for it is "long non-coding RNA (SBIC_LNC010196)". The record is from RNAcentral. Lineage: Eukaryota; Viridiplantae; Streptophyta; Magnoliopsida; Poales; Poaceae.